This 1528-nucleotide ribosomal RNA is filed under the name Escherichia coli DEC14A. RNAcentral's name for it is "bacterial SSU rRNA". It matches the Rfam family "Bacterial small subunit ribosomal RNA". Lineage: Bacteria; Pseudomonadati; Pseudomonadota; Gammaproteobacteria; Enterobacterales; Enterobacteriaceae. The record is from RNAcentral.
GAGUUUGAUCAUGGCUCAGAUUGAACGCUGGCGGCAGGCCUAACACAUGCAAGUCGAACGGUAACAGAAAGCAGCUUGCUGCUUUGCUGACGAGUGGCGGACGGGUGAGUAAUGUCUGGGAAACUGCCUGAUGGAGGGGGAUAACUACUGGAAACGGUAGCUAAUACCGCAUAACGUCGCAAGACCAAAGAGGGGGACCUUCGGGCCUCUUGCCAUCGGAUGUGCCCAGAUGGGAUUAGCUUGUUGGUGGGGUAACGGCUCACCAAGGCGACGAUCCCUAGCUGGUCUGAGAGGAUGACCAGCCACACUGGAACUGAGACACGGUCCAGACUCCUACGGGAGGCAGCAGUGGGGAAUAUUGCACAAUGGGCGCAAGCCUGAUGCAGCCAUGCCGCGUGUAUGAAGAAGGCCUUCGGGUUGUAAAGUACUUUCAGCGGGGAGGAAGGGAGUAAAGUUAAUACCUUUGCUCAUUGACGUUACCCGCAGAAGAAGCACCGGCUAACUCCGUGCCAGCAGCCGCGGUAAUACGGAGGGUGCAAGCGUUAAUCGGAAUUACUGGGCGUAAAGCGCACGCAGGCGGUUUGUUAAGUCAGAUGUGAAAUCCCCGGGCUCAACCUGGGAACUGCAUCUGAUACUGGCAAGCUUGAGUCUCGUAGAGGGGGGUAGAAUUCCAGGUGUAGCGGUGAAAUGCGUAGAGAUCUGGAGGAAUACCGGUGGCGAAGGCGGCCCCCUGGACGAAGACUGACGCUCAGGUGCGAAAGCGUGGGGAGCAAACAGGAUUAGAUACCCUGGUAGUCCACGCCGUAAACGAUGUCGACUUGGAGGUUGUGCCCUUGAGGCGUGGCUUCCGGAGCUAACGCGUUAAGUCGACCGCCUGGGGAGUACGGCCGCAAGGUUAAAACUCAAAUGAAUUGACGGGGGCCCGCACAAGCGGUGGAGCAUGUGGUUAAUUCGAUGCAACGCGAAGACCUUACCUGGUCUUGACAUCCACAGAACUUUCCAGAGAUGGAUUGGUGCCUUCGGGAACUGUGAGACAGGUGCUGCAUGGCUGUCGUCAGCUCGUGUUGUGAAAUGUUGGGUUAAGUCCCGCAACGAGCGCAACCCUUAUCCUUUGUUGCCAGCGGUCCGGCCGGGAACUCAAAGGAGACUGCCAGUGAUAAACUGGAGGAAGGUGGGGAUGACGUCAAGUCAUCAUGGCCCUUACGACCAGGGCUACACACGUGCUACAAUGGCGCAUACAAAGAGAAGCGACCUCGCGAGAGCAAGCGGACCUCAUAAAGUGCGUCGUAGUCCGGAUUGGAGUCUGCAACUCGACUCCAUGAAGUCGGAAUCGCUAGUAAUCGUGGAUCAGAAUGCCACGGUGAAUACGUUCCCGGGCCUUGUACACACCGCCCGUCACACCAUGGGAGUGGGUUGCAAAAGAAGUAGGUAGCUUAACCGUUACGGGAGGGCGCUUACCACUUUGUGAUUCAUGACUGGGGUGAAGUCGUAACAAGGUAACCGUAGGGGAACCUGCGGUUGGAUCACC